This 500-nucleotide ribosomal RNA is filed under the name uncultured bacterium. RNAcentral describes it as "partial 16S ribosomal RNA". It matches the Rfam family "Bacterial small subunit ribosomal RNA", at positions 28 to 507 of the family's 1533-position model. The record is from RNAcentral.
GACGAACGCUGGCGGCGUGCCUAAUACAUGCAAGUCGAGCGGACUGAUUAAGAGCUUGCUCUUAUGACGUUAGCGGCGGACGGGUGAGUAACACGUGGGCAACCUGCCCUGUAGAUCGGGAUAACACCGAGAAAUCGGUGCUAAUACCGGGUAAUAUCUGAGAUCACAUGAUCUUAGGUUAAAAGAUGGCUCCGGCUAUCACUACAGGAUGGGCCCGCGGCGCAUUAGCUAGUUGGUAAGGUAAUGGCUUACCAAGGCGACGAUGCGUAGCCGACCUGAGAGGGUGAUCGGCCACACUGGGACUGAGACACGGCCCAGACUCCUACGGGAGGCAGCAGUAGGGAAUCUUCCGCAAUGGACGAAAGUCUGACGGAGCAACGCCGCGUGAGUGAUGAAGGGUUGCGGCUCGUAAAGCUCUGUUGUUAGGGAAGAAACAGUACCGAACGAACUAGGUCGGUACCUUGACGGUACCUAACCAGAAAGCCACGGCUAACUACGUG